UGGCCGCGGUAAUUUGACCGUGCAAAGGUAGCAUAAUUAUUAGUCUUUUAAUUGAAGGCUUGAAUGAAUGAUUGGAUGAAAAAUUUACUUUAUUAAUUUAAAUUAUUUAAUUUAUGAUCUAAGUAAAAAUGCUUAGAUAAAUGAAUGGGACGAGAAGACCCUAUAGAGUUUUAUUUUUUUUUUUUAUUAUAAAAUUCUAGAAUUAAUAUUUUUAUAGUAAUAAAAAAUUUUUGAUUGGGGUGAUCUUAAAAAAUAUUAAACUUUUAAUUAAUAUUUCAUUAAUCUAUGUUGAAUUGAUCCAAAAAUUUUUGAUUACAUGAUUAAAUUACCUUAGGGAUAACAGCGUUAUUAAUUUGAAGAGUUCAAAUCGAUAAAUUAGUUUGCGACCUCGAUGUUGGAUUAAGAAAAAAUUUUGAAGUAGUAUUUAAAAUAAUGGGUCUGUUCGACCUUUAAAUUCUUACGUGAUCUGAGGUUCACACCGGA
RNAcentral lists this ribosomal RNA (483 nucleotides) under Capcicada decora. RNAcentral's name for it is "partial 16S ribosomal RNA". It matches the Rfam family "Bacterial large subunit ribosomal RNA", at positions 1928 to 2620 of the family's 2925-position model. Lineage: Eukaryota; Metazoa; Arthropoda; Insecta; Hemiptera; Cicadidae. The record is from RNAcentral.